AUCAUGGCUCAGAGCAAACGCUGGCGGCAGGCCUAACACAUGCAAGUCGAACGGACCCUUCGGGGUUAGUGGCGGACGGGUGAGUAACACGUGGGAACGUGCCUUUAGGUUCGGAAUAGCUCCUGGAAACGGGUGGUAAUGCCGAAUGUGCCCUUCGGGGAAAGAUUUAUCGCCUUUAGAGCGGCCCGCGUCUGAUUAGCUAGUUGGUGAGGUAACGGCUCACCAAGGCGACGAUCAGUAGCUGGUCUGAGAGGA
This 255-nucleotide ribosomal RNA is filed under the name uncultured bacterium. Its description in RNAcentral is "partial 16S ribosomal RNA". It matches the Rfam family "Bacterial small subunit ribosomal RNA", at positions 16 to 300 of the family's 1533-position model. The record is from RNAcentral.